Molecule: ribosomal RNA, 301 nt
Filed under: uncultured bacterium
Lineage: Bacteria
Description: partial 16S ribosomal RNA
Rfam family: Bacterial small subunit ribosomal RNA
Source: RNAcentral
CAGCAGCCACGGGAAUACAGAGGGUGCGAGCGUUAAUCGGAUUUACUGGGCGUAAAGCGUGCGUAGGCGGCUUCUUAAGUCGGAUGUGAAAUCCCUGAGCUUAACUUAGGAAUUGCAUUCGAUACUGGGAAGCUAGAGUAUGGGAGAGGAUGGUAGAAUUCCAGGUGUAGCGGUGAAAUGCGUAGAGAUCUGGAGGAAUACCGAUGGCGAAGGCAGCCAUCUGGCCUAAUACUGACGCUGAGGUACGAAAGCAUGGGGAGCAAACAGGAUUAGAUACCCGAGUAGUCCAUGUCUCUUAUAC